GGCCAGUUAGCUCAGCUGGUUAGAGCGUGGUGCUCUUAACCACAAGGUUGUCGGUUCGAUCCCCACAUGGGUCA
Non-coding RNA from Rhinolophus ferrumequinum (greater horseshoe bat), 74 nucleotides. NCBI's taxonomy places the organism in Eukaryota, Metazoa, Chordata, Mammalia, Chiroptera, Rhinolophidae. The record is from the annotation of a RefSeq genome assembly.